GAUGAACGCUGGCGGCGUGCUUAACACAUGCAAGUCGAACGGAAAGGCCCAAGCUUGCUUGGGUACUCGAGUGGCGAACGGGUGAGUAACACGUGGGUGAUCUGCCCCGCACUUCGGGAUAAGCCUGGGAAACUGGGUCUAAUACCGGAUAGGACGAUGGUUUGGAUGCCAUUGUGGAAAGUUUUUUCGGUGUGGGAUGAGCUCGCGGCCUAUCAGCUUGUUGGUGGGGUAAUGGCCUACCAAGGCGUCGACGGGUAGCCGGCCUGAGAGGGUGUACGGCCACAUUGGGACUGAGGUACGGCCCAGACUCCUACGGGAGGCAGCAGUGGGGAAUAUUGCACAAUGGGCGCAAGCCUGAUGCAGCGACGCCGCGUGGGGGAUGACGGCCUUCGGGUUGUAAACUCCUUUCGCUAGGGACGAAGCGUUUUUGUGACGGUACCUGGAGAAGAAGCACCGGCUAACUACGUG
RNAcentral lists this ribosomal RNA (468 nucleotides) under uncultured bacterium. RNAcentral's name for it is "partial 16S ribosomal RNA". It matches the Rfam family "Bacterial small subunit ribosomal RNA", at positions 28 to 507 of the family's 1533-position model. The record is from RNAcentral.